GUGCAUAUGUCAAUUCUGUCAUGAGCAUACAUCAGCAGUUACACAUGUUUAGGGGAAUAGGGCAUUAUUAAUAUAACAUGUAAGGUGGUAUGUGCUAGAAAUGGGUAAACCACUAUCAGCGAGUCUGCCUAUGGGGUGGGGGCCCCGCCGCGCAAGGCAGUGUCCCACAUUGUCCCUCAGAAACAUACCCCUUGGGCUUAUUAGCAGGUGGUCACCCUACUUAUGAAUUACCUUUUUACCAUAUUAACCCUUUAUUAAUCAUUACGCUAAUCCUUUAUUAACCCUUAUUUUAAUUAACCAUAAUAUUAUUAGCCAUUUUAUACAAUCAUUUUUUACAAUCAGCGAUAUUAACCCUUUAUUAUUGAACUAGUAUUAUUAACUAUAUUAUCCCUUAAUCAUUGAAUGGUUUGUUUUAGUUUUGGAUAUUUGUACUGAUGGGUUGCAUUUCUUUACAGGCCAAACACAAGCGUUACUUCGGCCACUCAGCCCACGUGACCAACAUUCGUUUCUCUUACGAUGACAAAUAUGUGAUAAGUGUAGGAGGCAACGAUUGUAGUGUGUUCGUAUGGAGAUGCAUCUGAUGGGCCUCCACACAGCUGGGAAUCUCUCCUCCAAACAUCAAGCCGGAGAUACCUCCAGCGUCCGGAUGCUGCACUUCUGUUAUGCUGCGUUUUACCCCUCUAGACCUGAUGGAUCCUAGACAAGCUCGAAGAGGGUUUUUUAACCAUUCUGUGAAGUGCAAUGUUUACGCUUACGUGUACUUUUACAAAGAAAAGAGAAAAGAUACACUCAUAACUCAUGCCACUGUUUCAGAAAUAAAUGUAUUUUUUGUUCGGAUUCUGAAGUGCCUUGGAGACACAGUUUGCUGAUCUUUGCCCCGAAAUGUUCAUAUGAUGCAUAUAUGGUGCUAAAUGUCCACUUAGAGCUUUUUACAAUUCUUUUAAAAACCAUGCAUUAUGCAAUUUCUUUUCUUCUUUAUCUUCUUUUUACAUUUUGUACAUAAAUGUCAACUCACUAAAUGCUCUUCCUGUUAAAAAUAUCAAAGUAUCCAAAUACAUGGGACUCAGGAGAAAUUAAGUACUGUAAUGUGUAGAUGUUAUAUUUGACCUGUGCUAUUUUUGUUAAAAUAUUUAUUUUUUAUGUACGUACUUGCGUAUGACGUAUGCAAAUUAGUCUGUGGGCGUAUAUGAAAAUUGAAAAUGCAAAAAAUUUGCUGUCCAAAUAUUAGAGUUAUAUGAAAUGUACGUAGUAGCGUUGUAUGUCGCGACGUGUGUAGAUUGCGAUGCGCUGUUUGUAGCCAAUGACGUGACAGCAGCUGUUUAUCGUGCGCAGAUAUCUCGUUAAAUCUGUCAUUUGUAUGUUCGUGUUUUUGUAAUUCGUCUGAUCAGAGGUCAGUCUAAUUGAAAGCUAUAUAAUAAUGCAUGAAUCGAAGUCUGUGUGGUUGUUGAUCAUGAAUGAAUACUGUUGUUUGAUAAUUAAAAGACAACUGUGCUCA
Molecule: long non-coding RNA, 1495 nt
Organism: Carassius auratus (goldfish)
Lineage: Eukaryota; Metazoa; Chordata; Actinopteri; Cypriniformes; Cyprinidae
Exons: 2
Source: RefSeq, a predicted model, not a curated record